Molecule: ribosomal RNA, 305 nt
Filed under: uncultured bacterium
Lineage: Bacteria
Description: partial 16S ribosomal RNA
Rfam family: Bacterial small subunit ribosomal RNA
Source: RNAcentral
ACAGCAGUCGCCGCGGUAAUACGGAGGGUGCAAGCGUUAAUCGGAAUUACUGGGCGUAAAGCGCACGCAGGCGGUCUGUCAAGUCAGAUGUGAAAUCCCCGGGCUUAACCUGGGAACUGCAUUUGAAACUGGCAGGCUAGAGUCUUGUAGAGGGGGGUAGAAUUCCAGGUGUAGCGGUGAAAUGCGUAGAGAUCUGGAGGAAUACCGGUGGCGAAGGCGGCCCCCUGGACAAAGACUGACGCUCAGGUGCGAAAGCGUGGGGAGCAAACAGGAUUAGAUACCCGUGUAGUCCCUGUCUCUUAUAC